CCUACGGGGGGCAGCAGUGGGGAAUAUUGGACAAUGGGGGGAACCCUGAUCCAGCCAUGCCGCGUGUGUGAAGAAGGCCCUCGGGUUGUAAAGCACUUUCAGUGAGGAAGAACGCCUGGUGGUUAAUACCCAUCAGGAAAGACAUCACUCACAGAAGAAGCACCGGCUAACUCCGUGCCAGCAGCCGCGGUAAUACGGAGGGUGCGAGCGUUAAUCGGAAUUACUGGGCGUAAAGCGCGCGUAGGUGGCUUGAUAAGCCGGUUGUGAAAGCCCCGGGCUCAACCUGGGAACGGCAUCCGGAACUGUCAAGCUAGAGUGUAGGAGAGGAAGGUAGAAUUCCCGGUGUAGCGGUGAAAUGCGUAGAGAUCGGGAGGAAUACCAGUGGCGAAGGCGGCCUUCUGGACUGACACUGACACUGAGGUGCGAAAGCGUGGGUAGCAAACAGGAUUAGAUACCCUGGUAGUC
Molecule: ribosomal RNA, 465 nt
Filed under: Vreelandella stevensii
Lineage: Bacteria; Pseudomonadati; Pseudomonadota; Gammaproteobacteria; Oceanospirillales; Halomonadaceae
Description: partial 16S ribosomal RNA
Rfam family: Bacterial small subunit ribosomal RNA
Source: RNAcentral